CCUACGGGAGGCAGCAGUGAGGAAUAUUGGUCAAUGGACGGAAAUCUGAACCAGCCAUGCCGCGUGCAGGAUGACUGCCCUAUGGGCUGUAAACUGCUUUUCUGAAGGAAGAAAGGUACCUACGCGUAGGUAUUUGCCGGUACUUCAGGAAUAAGGAUCGGCUAACUCCGUGCCAGCAGCCGCGGUAAUACGGAGGAUCCGAGCGUUAUCCGGAUUUAUUGGGUUUAAAGGGUGCGUAGGCGGUAUAAUAAGUCAGUGGUGAAAGUCUGUGACUCAACCAUAGAAGUGCCAUUGAAACUGUUAUACUUGAGUAUAGAUGAGGUAUGCGGAAUGUGUAAUGUAGCGGUGAAAUGCUUAGAUAUUACACAGAACACCGAUUGCGAAGGCAGCAUACUAAGCUAUAACUGACGCUGAUGCACGAAAGCGUGGGUAGCGAACAGGAUUAGAUACCCUGGUAGUCCACGCCGUAAACGAUGAUCACUCGUUGUUGGCGACAUAAAGUCAGUGACUGAGCGAAAGCAUUAAGUGAUCCACCUGGGGAGUACGUUGGCAACGAUGAAACUCAAAUGAAUUGACGGA
This 579-nucleotide ribosomal RNA is filed under the name uncultured bacterium. RNAcentral describes it as "bacterial SSU rRNA". It matches the Rfam family "Bacterial small subunit ribosomal RNA", at positions 338 to 917 of the family's 1533-position model. The record is from RNAcentral.